UACGUAGGGGGCAAGCGUUGUCCGGAUUUAUUGGGCGUAAAGAGCGUGUAGGCGGCCUUACAGGUCAGCUGUGAAAACUCGAGGCUCAACCUCGAGACGUCGGUUGAAACCGUAUGGCUAGAGUCCGGAAGAGGAGAGUGGAAUUCCCGGUGUAGCGGUGAAAUGCGCAGAUAUCAGGAGGAACACCGGUGGCGAAGGCGGGUCUCUGGGCCGUAACUGACGCUGAGGAGCGAAAGCGUGGGGAGCGAACAGG
RNAcentral lists this ribosomal RNA (253 nucleotides) under uncultured bacterium. RNAcentral describes it as "partial 16S ribosomal RNA". It matches the Rfam family "Bacterial small subunit ribosomal RNA", at positions 524 to 776 of the family's 1533-position model. The record is from RNAcentral.